AAAUUUUGAGGUGUUACAACGUUCUCACAAAGGAACCAAACAUAUGGUACAAUGCAUAAAAAUCAAUGAUUUGAUAGAAAUGACAAAUUUAGAAUAGUUGAUGGUCAAGGAGCGGUAAAUGAGAAGGAUGAAGAAGAAGAUGAGAUUGAUGUCGAUGAUUGAUUUUCUUAUAUUUGUUGAGUAUUUAUAUUGUUAUUCCACUUUUUAAUUUUUGUAUUUUGUUAAUAAAUUUUAAUUGAAUUUUUAUAAAAUUUUCAUAUUUAGAAUUAUUUUUUGAAAUAAAAAUAUAAUUUUAUUUUAUUAAUUACUUUUUGAAAUAUAAUUAUUAAUUAUUUUAUAAAAAU
Molecule: long non-coding RNA, 344 nt
Filed under: Lathyrus oleraceus (garden pea)
Lineage: Eukaryota; Viridiplantae; Streptophyta; Magnoliopsida; Fabales; Fabaceae
Description: Pisum sativum (pea) long non-coding RNA (PSAT_LNC027517)
Source: RNAcentral